Molecule: long non-coding RNA, 1071 nt
Organism: Oncorhynchus tshawytscha (Chinook salmon)
Lineage: Eukaryota; Metazoa; Chordata; Actinopteri; Salmoniformes; Salmonidae
Source: Ensembl
AGGUAGAAAAGAAAGGCAAUGAGAAGGAUGGAAGAAACUGUUACAUGGGCAUGACUCGGACAUACAGUAUGACUUCGAAGAGCAAGGACCUGAGCCCUAGGACCAUGCCCCAGGACUACCUGACAUGAUGACUCCUUGCUGUCCCCAGUCCACCUGGCCGUGCUGCUGCUCCAGUUUCAACUGUUCUGCCUUAUUAUUAUUCGACCAUGCUGGUCAUUUAUGAACAUUUGAACAUCUUGGCCAUGUUCUGUUAUAAUCUCCACCCGGCACAGCCAGAAGAGGACUGGUCACCCCACAUAGCCUGGUUCCUCUCUAGGUUUCUUCCUAGGUUUUGGCCUUUCUAGGGAGUUUUUCCUAGCCACCGUGCUUCUACACCUGCAUUGCUUGCUAUUUGGAUUUUUAGGCUGGGUUUCUGUACAGCACUUUGAGAUAUCAGCUGAUGUACGAAGGGCUAUAUAAAUACAUUUGAUUUGAUUUGAUUUAAGUUCUGACCUCUGAUAGAUGUUGCAGAGGUAGGUUUUGUAUGCUUCCUGAAGUCUAUGGAAAUCUCUUUGGUCUUAUUGGUAUUGAGUGUGAUUCGUCACACCACUCUACAAAGUCAUUUAGGACCGGGCCAUGGUGUUCCUCGUCAUCAUGCAACAGGCUGAUCAAGGCAGUGUCAUCAGCGAACUUAACGAGGUGUCUGUCAGGAUGGUUUUUAACAAAUACAUUAGCAUGAUCUCAAGUAUAAGGUUACAUGACUUCCAUCAAAAGGUGACUGAUUCACAGAUGAUCACAUUCUUUUGUGAUAAGUCAUAAUCAGCUAUUUAGAUGGCAUACAUUGAUCUCUAAGCUCGAAUUCUCCCUGAAAAUAUGUAACGUACAAAAUAUCCCAGAUAAUAAUUUUUUUUCAACCUGUCAUUACAUUACUGCUGACCAUAUUUACUCAGUAAAUUUGCGGUUGACCGUGUUGUGUUCAGCCAGGAAUUCCCUGGAGCUUUUUACACACUUCCGACUUUCUGCUCUGCUCCAUAUGUUUUCACUACAUUUCCUACCUCCCCGUGUUUCCUAUCCAGCUGUUGGCUAAUCUUG